CAAGAGAAAGAGCAGAAAGAGGUAAUUUAGUUAAUUAUACUAUCAGUUAAUGUGAUGCCUGCCAAUGUUCUAAUGUUGUAUAAUGCUAUGUUUCUUUAUGGGUGAACUUGAAUGAAUGUCAACUUAUUUGCAAAUUGAAAUGGGAUUUAGUAUGCUACCAAAAUAACUAAAUAUAUAAAUAGGGGCCUGGUUAAUUAUCCACUAUAUUUUAGAGGAUGAAUAUCCACUUUCUUCCCUCAAGAUUUUUCAGCUUUCCUUCUCUGCCUUUUUGUGGCUUUAUUCCCUCAGGGCUGAAACUGGUGGACAAGGAUGUACGUAGUUGAGCAUAUGAAUUAUUCUGAAGAUAGGAGCAUGUGAGUUAAUCAGUUAAAGAACUAUGUACAUAAGAUGUCUUCUUUUUGUUUUACCAAAAGGUAACUGGUCAGGUAUUGUGUUGUCAAGGCCAUAUUCUGUCAAUAUAUUAUUGGUGGCUUUUCAUUGAACAUGAAAACGUUCAUAUAGGAUGUUUUAGAAGUAAUAGUUCGUUUGCUUUUUGAAGGUUUAAGUUGCUUGCACUCUAUCUGUUGAAUCCUCUUUAGCUCUAAAAGGGACACUUUGUCCUUGAUUGUUUCUAUUAAUCUUUAGUGAAUUUGAAUUAAUUGAUAGAGUGAUACAGUGCUAUCAAAAGGAAAUAGAUUGGGUAGUUUUGAUGUUAUAUAUAGACAUUAAGCUUGAACUUCUGUUUUGUGAUAAAGAAAUCCCAACGACUAGUAGCAAUUUUGGAGCACUUUCAGCUUUUCUGUUAUUCAAGGACAACAUUGUAUUGAUAAUUUUCCUUGUGAGAUUAAGAAGUUAUUCCAGAAACUAAUAGUUACAAACAGCAUUCUCAAAUUUUGAUUGAUCUGGUCUUCUUUACUAGUAUUCUUUUCUUUUUCCUCAUAUGAAUGAAAUACUGUUAUUGCAUAGAAAUCUUAUAUAAUUUCCUAUCAUUUUUUCUUUUCUGUUUUCUGAAUUUCAUUUGGAUUUUUGGUGAAAUGAUUCAGUUAUUCAAAAUUAGUAUGAUUUACUCAACUGAAAAAUGGUGUCUAGAGCUUGGAAUCUAAGCAAUGUUUCAAAUGUUUGAAAGGAGUUUAAUCCUUUCUAUUAAGAUAUUUGCAUAAUUGCAAAAAGAUUCGUGAAUUUUCAUAUCAAUCCUAUGCUUUCAAUUUUAUCAUUUGAUCAUUUGUAAUUUCAAUAUUAUAUCUAUUUUAUCCUGCUCUCAUUCUUCGGUCAUAUUGGAUAAAAAAUUAUUAAGUUGGCAUUAGGUAAAUGUUAAGGAAAAAUAAACUAUAUCUAGGAUUUCUUCCAAUAGUGGAUGAAACUAGUGAAAGAGUUAAUCAAACGUUGGAGCUGUGGAGAAAGACUCUUGAGAGCAAGGGUUUUACGCUAAGUAGAAGUAAGACAGAAUAUAUGCAUUGAGAAUUUAGCUCUUGUGGAAGGAAUGGAGGGGAGGAUCGAUUGGAUGGAAUUUUGGUACCAAAAUGCAACCAAUUGAAGUACUUCUAUAGAAUUGUGAUCAUGCCAGCUUUGUUCUUUGGGAGUGAAUGUUGGGCAUCUAA
This 1577-nucleotide unclassified non-coding RNA is filed under the name Hevea brasiliensis (rubber tree). Lineage: Eukaryota; Viridiplantae; Streptophyta; Magnoliopsida; Malpighiales; Euphorbiaceae. The record is from RNAcentral.